RNAcentral lists this ribosomal RNA (301 nucleotides) under uncultured bacterium. RNAcentral describes it as "partial 16S ribosomal RNA". It matches the Rfam family "Bacterial small subunit ribosomal RNA", at positions 509 to 808 of the family's 1533-position model. The record is from RNAcentral.
CAGUAGCCACGGUAAUACGUAGGUCCCGAGCGUUGUCCGGAUUUAUUGGGCGUAAAGCGAGCGCAGGCGGUUAGAUAAGUCUGAAGUUAAAGGCUGUGGCUUAACCAUAGUACGCUUUGGAAGCUGUUUAACUUGAGUGCAAGAGGGGAGAGUGGAAUUCCAUGUGUAGCGGUGAAAUGCGUAGAUAUAUGGAGGAACACCGGUGGCGAAAGCGGCUCUCUGGCUUGUAACUGACGCUGAGGCUCGAAAGCGUGGGGAGCAAACAGGAUUAGAGACCCCCGUAGUCCCUGUCUCUUAUACA